UGCAUCUGCCUGACGGCUUUCAGAGCGAGCCAUCCCUGCCAGCCAAAGCAGAUUCUCUGUGCCUGCUUCCAAGCAGCACGAGCUGAAACAACUGGUGGCAGAGUGGGGUGUCUCUACAGUCCUAGCCAUGAAGAGAGGAGAUGAAACAUCCUCCUGCUUGCAGCACAGGGAGGAGGCUGGAGCUGGGCUGCUUUCUCCACACCUGUAGAACUGCCAUGAAAUGGGGAUUCUUUGUGUUUCAUUGGUUUCUCUGAGGAAAACAGCAACCCUGAGAUGAGACAGAGCCUGGGGAAACUCUUGAUGCAGUUGGUGGGUUCUCCCCAGGGGCAAAGGAACUGCUCCAGGAGCUCUGCACACCUCCAGGCAAGGUCCUUCCCAUGGAGGAGGUGAUGGGAGCUGGUCGAGGAGGUCCUUUUCCAAAGGCACGUCACAGGGAUCAGGGCUUCCAGCCUUUUUAGCGUCUUCGUGAAUGAGGUAAAAGAUGGACUAAGCAGCAUGUGAAUG
Molecule: long non-coding RNA, 504 nt
Organism: Motacilla alba alba
Lineage: Eukaryota; Metazoa; Chordata; Aves; Passeriformes; Motacillidae
Exons: 3
Source: RefSeq, a predicted model, not a curated record